CUCAUAGAAAUUAUGUGAGUCUUGAUGUAGCAACUAUUAAUGUUGUGUACAUGUUGUGUGAGUGUCUUGUAGGUAGGUGAUAAAAAGUUGUAUGUGAAUCUUAUUGUAGAGUUUACCUAUCACAUCCUUCAAAAGUGCGCUUUCCGUGGUAAACUGCAUAAUUCUCUAGUGACAAAUGCUUCAGUAUGACUACCUCGGUCAUUCGGAUUGGAAGCAUAUCCUUAUAGAGCAAACUUGAUGACUACAUAGAUAACUCGUGCCUCUAAUAUGAACAUGUUUUCUCCAAAUUUACCUAUUCAUAUCACAUGAUC
This 311-nucleotide long non-coding RNA is filed under the name Hordeum vulgare. RNAcentral describes it as "long non-coding RNA (HVUL_LNC005717)". The record is from RNAcentral. Lineage: Eukaryota; Viridiplantae; Streptophyta; Magnoliopsida; Poales; Poaceae.